Molecule: ribosomal RNA, 327 nt
Filed under: Triticum aestivum (bread wheat)
Lineage: Eukaryota; Viridiplantae; Streptophyta; Magnoliopsida; Poales; Poaceae
Description: partial small subunit ribosomal RNA
Source: RNAcentral
AUGCAUAUUAAUGUUAGCGUCAAGACGCCAGGUGGCAAAAUUGUGACUAGGUUGAGAGCUCAGAUACUGAAAAAUGUGAAGAAGAUUUUCGAUGCGACAUGUCUUCAACAAGAUAUGCAACAAGUCGGCAUUCCGAAUAAGGGCUUGUUUGUUUGCUCGGGAUCCCUGCCCUUUCCCUGGGGUCAGAAGCCCGCAUAUGGAUUUAACCCUGGGAACCAUCUCAGCAGGAGCAUGCCGCCCAAUCUAUGUGGCUUCUGCACCGUUUCCACCCUCCAUGGGGCUCCGCUGCCACCUUAUGAUGCCUCCGCCGCCCAUCUAGACUGCUAG